Molecule: ribosomal RNA, 456 nt
Filed under: Streptococcus australis
Lineage: Bacteria; Bacillati; Bacillota; Bacilli; Lactobacillales; Streptococcaceae
Description: bacterial SSU rRNA
Rfam family: Bacterial small subunit ribosomal RNA
Source: RNAcentral
GAUGAACGCUGGCGGCGUGCCUAAUACAUGCAAGUAGAACGCUGAAGGAGGAGCUUGCUCUUCUGGAUGAGUUGCGAACGGGUGAGUAACGCGUAGGUAACCUGCCUGGUAGCGGGGGGUAACUAUUGGAAACGAUAGCUAAUACCGCAUAACAGUAGAUAUUGCAUGAUAUCUGCUUGAAAGGGGCAAUUGCUCCACUACCAGAUGGACCUGCGUUGUAUUAGCUAGUUGGUGAGGUAACGGCUCACCAAGGCGACGAUACAUAGCCGACCUGAGAGGGUGAUCGGCCACACUGGGACUGAGACACGGCCCAGACUCCUACGGGAGGCAGCAGUAGGGAAUCUUCGGCAAUGGACGGAAGUCUGACCGAGCAACGCCGCGUGAGUGAAGAAGGUUUUCGGAUCGUAAAGCUCUGUUGUAAGAGAAGAACGAGUGUGAGAGUGGAAAGUUCACACU